Molecule: long non-coding RNA, 2115 nt
Filed under: Homo sapiens (human)
Lineage: Eukaryota; Metazoa; Chordata; Mammalia; Primates; Hominidae
Description: HSALNT0375915
Source: RNAcentral
AGCGAAGGGGUGGGGUGGGAUCUUGGUCCAGCUGGUACUGGAGCGGCGACAAUUUUGGCUAGUCUAAGAAGGGCAUUCGAGUGACCGUUGACAACGGGUGGGACAGCGUCAGAGCUGGAGGGAGAGCCAGCACUGUAUGCUUCCAGGACUUCUUGCUAGGUGCAUUAGUUUUUAUUUUUAAGAGUUGGGUAAAAGACAUUAAUUAGUUAGCAUCUCACUCAUCGGCGAUUUUCUACGGUAUGAUUUCAUCCAAAGAGGAUUUCUUAAUCGCACUGUGUGACACCGUUAGGGGACUUAGAGUGUCACUCGCCGCCUUAAAUCCUUUCGGGAACAAGCCAGGAUAUAAAUAAAUAAAGCUAGGUGUGGGUCUUCCCUUCACAAGGCGCUGGUAGGCAGACUAAAGACAGGCAACAGCUGAGUGUGCACACAGAACUAAAUAUUGAACGAAAUACGAGUGUCGGAAUAAAAUUCAUUGCCAUGUGCACGGCUUAUGAUUAUACAGAUCUUGGACAUAUCACGGACCUGAACGUCAACCCUGCAACACCGGAUAAAACAUCUAAUGUAGCUGGAAUAGACUCUGAAAGGACGUUAGGCAUUAUCUAAAUCAAGUCCCUCAUUUUACAGAUGAGUAAACUGACUCAGUGAAGUAUUUUGCUCAAGGUCGUUCAUCAAAUUAGUAGUUUAAUUAACUCAGUGUUCUAGGAAGCAGGGUAGUAGAAAAGCAUGGGAUUCGGAGUCUGAAAUCUUCCUUGGUUUCUGGUCCUUGUAGGCUGUUUUACAAGUGUAUCUUGGGCAAAUCCCUUAACGUCUUGCCAUUUAUUAAGGGCUUACUUACCACGUGGCAAACAAUCCACUUUGCAUGCUGUGUCAAUUACAUGCAGUAUGUCGUGUAGUUAUUACUGUCCCCAUUUUAUGAGGUAGUUUAGGUUUAAAGAUAUUAGAAAUUUACCCAAAGUUACGCAGUUAUAAACAUUGUAGUAAUUUCAAACUCAGGUCUUCGUGACUGCAAAGGCUGCUGUCUUAAGUAUUGUAAUACAUUAGAGCUCCGGAUUCCCUCCCACUCAAAACAGAGACUGAGACUCCAACCAAUUUCCACCAUUAUUGGGAGUCAAACGAGAGAGACUGUGGCAAUGUAUUCUAAGCUGUACAAAGGUAUAAACAUAUUCACUAGAUUUGUAGAAUGAAGUUAUUCCUUCCCUAUACUUUCCACUACAACAAUUCAGCCAAAAAGAUGGCUUUCAUACUAAGCAUAAGAAGGAACUUCACUGUAAUUAUGAUAUUCUAACCAAGAAUAUAUGCAUAUCUAGGCAAUAACCAAAGUGAAUAGAAUAAAAUUUAAUUCCUGAUAGAUUAAAUAGGCAAUAGCAAGGAAUGCUAACGCUCCUCAUAGCGUUCUUGUUGGAAGAAUCAUCUAGGAGGCAUUGGGAUUUCUGGUGCUUUUUAAGCAAUGAGAGAUAUCAGUCCACUGAAUGAGGAAGAGAAUAACGUUUAGUUUCGGACUAAAAGUUCAUCUGGACUACGGAAAACACGUUUGCCUCAAUCAGUGAAGAAGGUAUGCUGAGAGCUGAAAGAAAAGGAAAGCAGCAACAGUGAGAGCUCAGAAAUUCCCAGACUGUUUUGAUGAUAAGGUCCAAGAACUUGCCAUGUGAUCCAUCACUACUAGACUCCCACAACUGCAUUAGAUUUGUUCAGGAUUUUCAUAUAAUUUUCAUAACUGGCUAAGUUCUGAAAUAACCCAUCUUGAAGACAUAAACAAUGUGCAUUGAUGGCUAGCCAGACUCUGUCCUGCCACAGUUCUCCUCCUACUCUUCAUUUCUUACCCCAAGGAGUAGUAAACAUGAAUCCUGACCCACCAAUGCAGUCCCAGAACUGAGAAAAGAUUCACUGCAGCUAAACACAUUGGAAAUGGAUGGGGAGAAGGCCUGAUGAAAAUUACUGAGGAAGCCUCUUAGCCUAUGUGCUCUGAGAGUAGUGACACCUAGCAGUCGUUCAAAAGAUGAUCAAGAGGAGCAUGAAAAAAUCCCCUGAAUCCAUUGGCUUUCUUCCCUAUACUGACAACAGUUUACUUGUGUAAGAGAUGAGGGUCUCAUCCUUUUGCCCAGGCUGGAGUACAGU